Molecule: ribosomal RNA, 43 nt
Filed under: Phlebotomus simici
Lineage: Eukaryota; Metazoa; Arthropoda; Insecta; Diptera; Psychodidae
Description: partial 5.8S ribosomal RNA
Source: RNAcentral
AACUUGUUAGACUGCAUGGGCCACGUAUGGUUGAGUGUCGUAA